RNAcentral lists this ribosomal RNA (371 nucleotides) under uncultured bacterium. Its description in RNAcentral is "bacterial SSU rRNA". It matches the Rfam family "Bacterial small subunit ribosomal RNA", at positions 360 to 748 of the family's 1533-position model. The record is from RNAcentral.
AAUCUUGCACAAUGGGGGAAACCCUGAUGCAGCGACGCCGCGUGAACGAUGAAGCCCUUCGGGGUGUAAAGUUCUUUCGACAGGAACGAUAAUGACGGUACCUGGAGAAGAAGCUGCGGCUAACUACGUGCCAGCAGCCGCGGUAAUACGUAGUCAGCGCGCGUUGUUCGGAGUUACUGGGCGUAAAGAGUGCGUAGGCGGCGAGCCAAGUUUGGUGUGAAAUCUCCCGGCUUAACCGGGAGGGUGCGCCGAAAACUGGUUGGCUGGAGUAUGGGGGAGNAAAGCGGAAUUCCUGGUGUAGCGGUGACAUGCGUAGAUAUCAGGAGGAACACCUGCGGUGUAGACAGCUUUCUGGACCAAAACUGACGCUG